This 632-nucleotide ribosomal RNA is filed under the name Burkholderiaceae bacterium Ri1Pt_3862. Its description in RNAcentral is "bacterial SSU rRNA". It matches the Rfam family "Bacterial small subunit ribosomal RNA", at positions 382 to 1007 of the family's 1533-position model. Lineage: Bacteria; Pseudomonadati; Pseudomonadota; Betaproteobacteria; Burkholderiales; Burkholderiaceae. The record is from RNAcentral.
CCUGAUCCAGCAAUGCCGCGUGUGUGAAGAAGGCCUUCGGGUUGUAAAGCACUUUUGUUCGGGAAGAAAAGGUUUGGGCUAAUAUCCUGAACUGAUGACGGUACCGGAAGAAUAAGCACCGGCUAACUACGUGCCAGCAGCCGCGGUAAUACGUAGGGUGCAAGCGUUAAUCGGAAUUACUGGGCGUAAAGCGUGCGCAGGCGGUUUGUUAAGACAGAUGUGAAAUCCCCGGGCUCAACCUGGGAACUGCAUUUGUGACUGGCAAGCUAGAGUCUGGCAGAGGGGGGUGGAAUUCCGCGUGUAGCAGUGAAAUGCGUAGAUAUGCGGAGGAACACCGAUGGCGAAGGCAGCCCCCUGGGCCAACACUGACGCUCAUGCACGAAAGCGUGGGGAGCAAACAGGAUUAGAUACCCUGGUAGUCCACGCCCUAAACGAUGUCAACUAGUUGUUGGGGAUUCAUUUCCUUAGUAACGUAGCUAACGCGUGAAGUUGACCGCCUGGGGAGUACGGUCGCAAGAUUAAAACUCAAAGGAAUUGACGGGGACCCGCACAAGCGGUGGAUGAUGUGGAUUAAUUCGAUGCAACGCGAAAAACCUUACCUACCCUUGACAUGGUCGGAACCCUUGAGAGAU